Molecule: ribosomal RNA, 246 nt
Filed under: uncultured bacterium
Lineage: Bacteria
Description: partial 16S ribosomal RNA
Rfam family: Bacterial small subunit ribosomal RNA
Source: RNAcentral
UGGGUAACCUGCCUCAAAGAGGGGAAUAGCCUCCCGAAAGGGAGAUUAAUACCGCAUAAUAUGUUUAAGUCGCAUGACUUUAACAUCAAAGGAUUUUCUUUUAAGAAAUUCCACUUUGAGAUGGACCCGCGGCGCAUUAGCUAGUUGGUGAGGUAACGGCUCACCAAGGCAACGAUGCGUAGCCCGACCUGAGAGGGUNAUCGGCCACAUUGGAACUGAGACUACGGUCCAGACCUCCUAGGGACG